ACACUGCUUUCUCUCCAGGUUCUUGCCUGUUCACACCUGAUCUGAGAAGCCUUUCACAAAUCACUGGACUGACCCUGGCUUUGUGACAACACAACAUCAAAGGCUCUCCAGAUUCGGAGUUAACUUUUCUGCAUAAAUAAAAGCUGAUGUCAAGGGCGAGAGCCAAGGACGUGGAAUAUUACAAUAGACCAAUAACAAACAAGCAAAAAAAAACAAACAAAAAAACCCCCAGCAAUCAGCCCAGAUCUUCGUGAUGUUUACCUUUAAAGCCUACACCAGCAGGACAACAUUUAUGAGGUUUUUCCAAAUGAAGUACACCAGUCCUCAGUAGAAGCUCCAUCCAACCACAUUCCACCUUUCUCUUCAUCGUUUAUGGGGUCCCUGGUGACCUCUGAGUGUUGUCUGAGGACUGAAAAUGUGUGACAUGAAUCUUUGCUGGUCUUUUAAAAUGAGGCUUUGACUGUCUCAAGGGAAAAUGGGACCGGGUAAAUUCCAUUCAGUGACCUCAAAUAAUAGUUGAAUAAAGAAUAUAAGACAUAUGUA
Molecule: long non-coding RNA, 543 nt
Organism: Suricata suricatta (meerkat)
Lineage: Eukaryota; Metazoa; Chordata; Mammalia; Carnivora; Herpestidae
Exons: 2
Source: RefSeq, a predicted model, not a curated record